Molecule: ribosomal RNA, 164 nt
Filed under: Streptocarpus holstii
Lineage: Eukaryota; Viridiplantae; Streptophyta; Magnoliopsida; Lamiales; Gesneriaceae
Also listed under: 19 other names
Description: 5.8S ribosomal RNA
Rfam family: 5.8S ribosomal RNA
About the family: 5.8S ribosomal RNA (5.8S rRNA) is a component of the large subunit of the eukaryotic ribosome.
Source: RNAcentral
AUAACGACUCUCGGCAACGGAUAUCUCGGCUCUCGCAUCGAUGAAGAACGUAGCGAAAUGCGAUACUUGGUGUGAAUUGCAGAAUCCCGUGAACCAUCGAGUCUUUGAACGCAAGUUGCGCCCGAAGCCAUCUGGUUGAGGGCACGUCUGCCUGGGCGUCACGC